This 74-nucleotide transfer RNA is filed under the name Exiguobacterium mexicanum. Its description in RNAcentral is "tRNA-Thr". It matches the Rfam family "tRNA". From Rfam's summary of the family: Transfer RNA (tRNA) molecules are approximately 80 nucleotides in length. Their secondary structure includes four short double-helical elements and three loops (D, anti-codon, and T loops). Lineage: Bacteria; Bacillati; Bacillota; Bacilli; Caryophanales. RNAcentral also lists the same sequence under 26 other names. The record is from RNAcentral.
GCCUCUGUAGGUUAGUGGCAGACCUCAGCAAUGGUAAUGCUGCAGCACGAGUUCGAUUCUCGUCGGAGGCAUCA